GGAAUCUUCCACAAUGGACGCAAGUCUGAUGGAGCAACGCCGCGUGAGUGAAGAAGGUUUUCGGAUCGUAAAGCUCUGUUGUUAGAGAAGAACACGAGUGAGAGUAACUGUUCAUUCGAUGACGGUAUCUAACCAGCAAGUCACGGCUAACUACGUGCCAG
Molecule: ribosomal RNA, 161 nt
Filed under: uncultured bacterium
Lineage: Bacteria
Description: partial 16S rRNA
Rfam family: Bacterial small subunit ribosomal RNA
Source: RNAcentral